AUUGAACGCUGGCGGCAUGCCUUACACAUGCAAGUCGAACGGCGGCACGGGUGCUUGCACCUGGUGGCGAGUGGCGAACGGGUGAGUAAUACAUCGGAACGUACCUUAUCGUGGGGGAUAACGCAGCGAAAGCUGUGCUAAUACCGCACACGCCCUGAGGGGGAAAGCGGGGGAUCGCAAGACCUCGCGCGAUUAGAGCGGCCGAUGCCUGAUUAGCUUGUUGGUGGGGUAAAAGCCCACCAAGGCGACGAUCAGUAGCUGGUCUGAGAGGACGAUCAGCCACACUGGGACUGAGACACGGCCCAGACUCCUACGGGAGGCAGCAGUGGGGAAUUUUGGACAAUGGGGGCAACCCUGAUCCAGCAAUGCCGCGUGAGUGAAGAAGGCCUUCGGGUUGUAAAGCUCUUUUGUCAGGGAAGAAACACCGGCUCUAACACGGUCCGGGAAUGACGGUACCUGAAGAAUAAGCACCGGCUAACUACGUGCCAGCAGCCGCCGUAA
RNAcentral lists this ribosomal RNA (501 nucleotides) under uncultured bacterium. RNAcentral's name for it is "partial 16S ribosomal RNA". It matches the Rfam family "Bacterial small subunit ribosomal RNA", at positions 29 to 523 of the family's 1533-position model. The record is from RNAcentral.